Molecule: long non-coding RNA, 868 nt
Organism: Hyalella azteca
Lineage: Eukaryota; Metazoa; Arthropoda; Malacostraca; Amphipoda; Hyalellidae
Exons: 6
Source: RefSeq, a predicted model, not a curated record
UACGUAGGUUAUGGGUUACUUACAACGUCUCGGACGAAUUUACGGCCGGUUUCUUACAUCUGCCCAGCGCGUGGGUGCAGUAAGCCGAUGUGAACGAUAUCUAGUCAGUAUGUAGUAAAUUUCAUCCGGCAUUCUCUAUUGAACAUUCAAUAAAAAGCUCACUUGCCAAUUAAGUUUUAUCAAAUCUAUGUUUAUGUUGUGGUCGCAGGAACUGGUGGAGUUUUGUGGAGGGCAGGUUUGAGGAGCGGAGGUCUCUCCACCGGCAGCGGCGGACCAGCGCCAUCUGCGGUUAAUCAUCUGCGGCGACAGAGGAGCGAAUCGCGCUGAAGCUGUGUGGCGUAGUACGAGAGUAGCGGUGGUACAUUUUGUGUGGCUUUUUGCCACAAUUGCAGCCCAAAACAUCCAGUGGGUGGAGAGGUGCCUGGAUAAGGGGCGCCUGCUACCCAAGCUUCGCAUCGCAGGCUAGAAGCGAGAAGAUGCUGCUGAAUAAGGUGGCUGCUGUCAGCAAGGCGGCUGAAAAGUUCAAGGGACUGAAGCAGCAGCUCGAUCAGCUUCAACAAAUGCAAACACUAGAGGCUGAGAAUUGUGCAGCCACGGCCGAGCUGCGCGCCGAGGUGGAUCGCCUGCGCUCUGACCUUGCUGGCAGAGAUCAGCAAAUCUCGCACGUGUGUUAACAAAGAUACCUCGCUGAAGCAGAGCUCCACCAGAAUCAACAACGAGAGGCGAGAGGGCUCUGCAGAGAGGCUUUACCAAAUUACCAUUCCGCGCAUCGUCAUAAACGAGGACGAUGAUGAAGAGGCCCGAGACGAUGAGGCAAUACCCGAAAUGGUGCGAGUCACGUGCUUGCAUAUUUAACUCCCAUUUGGUA